AGACCGGGACGGCCCGGUCACCACAGACGGGCUUCACCGGGACGACCCGG
RNAcentral lists this non-coding RNA (50 nucleotides) under Gillisella taibaishanensis. RNAcentral describes it as "Rhizobium taibaishanense Guanidine-II sequence". It matches the Rfam family "Guanidine-II riboswitch aptamer (mini-ykkC)". From Rfam's summary of the family: Simpler in structure and has fewer highly conserved nucleotide positions than the ykkC-yxkD leader. The record is from RNAcentral. Lineage: Bacteria; Pseudomonadati; Pseudomonadota; Alphaproteobacteria; Hyphomicrobiales; Rhizobiaceae.